AUUGCAGGCUGCAACUCGCCUGCAUGAAGUUGGAAUUGCUAGUAAUCGCGAAUCAGAAUGUCGCGGUGAAUACGUUCCCGGGCCUUGUACACACCGCCCGUCACACCAUGAGAGCCGAUAACACCCGAAGCCUGUGAGCUAACCGUAAGGGGGCAGCAGUCGAAGGUGGGGUUGGUGAUUGGGGUGAAGUCGUAACAAGGUAUC
Molecule: ribosomal RNA, 204 nt
Filed under: uncultured bacterium
Lineage: Bacteria
Description: partial 16S ribosomal RNA
Rfam family: Bacterial small subunit ribosomal RNA
Source: RNAcentral